UACGUAGGGCGCGAGCGUUGUCCGGAUUUAUUGGGCGUAAAGAGCUCGUAGGCGGCUUGUCGCGUCGACUGUGAAAACCCGCGGCUCAACCGUGUGGUCUGCAGUCGAUACGGGCAGGCUAGAGUUCGGUAGGAGAGACUGGAAUUCCUGGUGUAGCAGUGAAAUGCGUAGAUAUCAGGAGGAAUACCGAUGGCGAAGGCAGGUCUCUGGGCUAGAACUGACGCUCAUGCACGAAAGGCGUGGGGAGCAAACAGG
RNAcentral lists this ribosomal RNA (255 nucleotides) under uncultured bacterium. RNAcentral's name for it is "partial 16S ribosomal RNA". It matches the Rfam family "Bacterial small subunit ribosomal RNA", at positions 524 to 776 of the family's 1533-position model. The record is from RNAcentral.